RNAcentral lists this ribosomal RNA (253 nucleotides) under uncultured bacterium. RNAcentral's name for it is "partial 16S ribosomal RNA". It matches the Rfam family "Bacterial small subunit ribosomal RNA", at positions 524 to 776 of the family's 1533-position model. The record is from RNAcentral.
UACGUAGGGUGCAAGCGUUGUCCGGAAUUAUUGGGCGUAAAGAGCUCGUAGGCGGCCUGUCGCGUCGACUGUGAAAACCCAGGGCUCAACCCUGGGCCUGCAGUCGAUACGGGCAGGCUAGAGUGCAGUAGGGGAGACUGGAAUUCCUGGUGUAGCGGUGAAAUGCGUAGAUAUCUGGAGGAAUACCGGUGGCGAAGGCGGCAUCCUGGACCGGCAUUGACGCUGAGGAGCGAAAGCCAGGGGAGCAAACAGG